RNAcentral lists this long non-coding RNA (3827 nucleotides) under Mus musculus (house mouse). RNAcentral's name for it is "long non-coding RNA chr2:91585689-91589516". Lineage: Eukaryota; Metazoa; Chordata; Mammalia; Rodentia; Muridae. The record is from RNAcentral.
UUUUUUUUUUUUUUUUUUUUUCCUUUUGGCAGCUUCUGGGAUGGCUGGCAGAGAAACUACCUACACUCCGUUCCACUCCUACAGAUCUUAUCCUUUGUGUUCCUCAUCUGUAUUCCUGUCUAGAAGAUCGAAAUGGAGAUGUACGGAAGAAGGCCCAAGAUGCUUUGCCAUUCUUUAUGAUGCAUUUAGGAUAUGAAAAAAUGGCUAAGGCUACUGGGAAACUAAAGGUACUAGUUCUUCUUGAUAAGUAGUGUUAAAAGGUAUUAGGAAAAUACUAGACAUUAAUUUAUUGUAGGCAAAAAAUGCCACCUACCAUGUUUUAGCAGUAUAGUCUGGUGACAUACAGUAGUGCAAAUUAUUACCUUCUAGAAUGGUGGUUACUCAAAUGUGACUUCAUAAUGUAUGUUACUUCUUUUGUGCUUUGUGCUGCCUCCUUUACUUCAUUGGUGAAUCAAAAGUAGGAGCGCAAGCAUUUUAGUAGCAGACUUGUAGUAAUCUCAGUAUGAAUGUAUUGUUUAUGUCAACUUUGAUUUGCUUUGUCCUUAUAGCCAACUUCUAAAGAUCAAGUACUGGCCAUGCUAGAAAAGGCCAAAGCUAACAUGCCAUCCAAGCCUGCUGCACCUGCUAAGGCCAUGUCCAAACCAAUGGGAGGGUCGGCUCCAGCCAAAACCCAGCCUAUACCAGGUAACAACUUUGACAAUGACCUGAAGGAACUCACAGUACAGCCAGCCUGAUAACCUUUUCAUUUCAUUUCCUCAUCUUUUCCUGCAAACAUUUGCCAAGUACUCAUGUCAGAGUAUGUACUAAAGGUGUGAUAAUUAUUUAUUUUUUUAUGCCACAAAGAUGUUGUAAUUCAAAUACUGCUUUCAAGAAUUAUUCCAUGCUGUUUUUAAGGUUUCCACAGCUACUUUCUAUCAUUGAACAUUCUAGUUAGAAGAGGAGUUGGUAACAUCUAGCUUAAUCUACUUUAACAACAUAAAACCAGGGAGGUUAGUGAUUUUUUUUUUUUUACAAGGUAAAAUAGCCAGUACUUGAACCUGCCUGAGAUUCUGCUUAGUAACGUGACUGCAUAACACUGAUAACACUUAGGGCUCAUGCUGAGCUCUUAACCCACCACUGACCUAUAUCUGAACCCCUACAUUUUUUUUAAAAUAAAAAAACUACCUGAUAAUCCUGAUAUUAAAAGUCAGUAAUAGCUUGGCAGUGGUUGUGCAUUCAGCACUUGAGAGGCAAAGACAGGUGGAUCUCUGAGUGUAAGGCCAGCCUGGUCUACAGAGUGAAUUCCAGUACUGCCAGGGCUACAUAGUGAGACCCUGCCUUUGGGUUUGGGGUGGGCAAUAAUAUAUAAUCUAUAGCCACUUGAAUUCUAGACUUCUUGCUUUAUCAAAGCAAUUUUCUUCUGGUUAAUGGUAUAGAACUUGCUAUGAAGUUAGAAAUUUUACAUUAUCUAACACUUGUAUCCAGGUGUAUACUCAGAUUUAAUAUUUAUUGGAAUCUUAUUUAGAAGUUAAUUUCAGUGACAGCCCCUACCUUUAGAGAAGUAUUAAUGUGACAAAAAGUACUGUUACCUGUUUAAAUAUUGUUAAACAAGAGGUAGACUCUUUAUGAACUAAUUUUGUAACAUUGUGUUUAAAAAGAAUUUUUGUUUCAAAAAGAGAUUUGCUUACCUCUGCUUCCUGAAUGCUGGGAUUAAAGGCAUACACCACCACUGCCCAGCUUUUAAAUUCCUUUGAAUCUAUAUAUAACCCUUGACUGUUCUGAAACUCAGUAUGUAGAUCAGACUGACCUAGACCUCAGAGAGAUCUGCCUACCUCUCUGCUCCUCAGUGCUGGGCCUGAAGGUGUGUGCCACCACACCCAGCAAAAUGUCUUUUUCUGAUAUGAAAAGUCAAUGGCCAAUAAUAUACAAUUCAACGCUUUAUUUGUGCCAGGAUGAUAAAUUAGGAUAUAUUUCAUGAAAAAAAUCGAAAGUAGGAGAUAUACAUUAGAAUACAAGAAAAUAUUGCUAGUUAAACUAGAGUAAUAUAUUCCUUAGAGAUAGAAAGGACAAAGCUAAGUGCUAGAUCAAGGAAAUGGUUUAAAAGACACACAGACACGUUUCGUAGAGAAUGUUUACUCAAUAUUUGAGAUCUUAUUUACUUCCAAUUUUAUUUUAUGUAUAUGAGUGCUCUGUCUGCAUAUUUAUGCCUGAAUGCCAGAAGAGGACAUCAGAUCACAUUAAAAAUGGUUGUGAGUCACCUUGUACUUGUUGGGAAUUGAACUCAGGACCUCAAGAAGAGCAGCUAAUGCCCUUAACUACUGAACAGGAAGCUUCCAGCUCACUUCAGCUUGAUGUCUUUAUAUUUUUUGCAUCUGAGUAGUAUGGGGUUUUCAGCCAUAAGGUCUUGCCAUCUGCCUGUUGUGGGUAACCAAGAAUAAUGCCAGUUACCUGUUUGUUUUAUUUUUAGGUUAAUAUCCUUGGCUUCUAGAAUAACUUUACUCACCAGUGCAGAGUACUCAGUCUUGCAUUAUUUGCUUGCUUUUUUUUUUAGUUUAAUUUUCUUACAAAGUAGCAAGUUUCUUUAUAUUUUCCCAUAUAUCAUUUGUUGUCAUCCCCUAUUCCUUCUGUUUGUAGAUCAUAUCUACAUGUGCCACUCUACCCAGACUUUAAAGAGAAAAUAAGACUAGGAAAAAAAAAGUCUUUAAAUUCCUUAUAUAUAGCCGGGCGUGGUGGCCCACGCCUUUAAUCCCAACACUCAGAGGCAGGCGGAUUUCUGAGUUCGAGGCCAGCCUGGUCUACAAAGUGAGUUCCAGGACAGCCAGGACUACACAGAGAAACCCUGUCUCGAAAAACCAAAAAAACAACAACAAAAAAAUUCCUUAUAUAUUGAAAAAUUUAAGACUACAGAAGGUUUUUUUUUAAAUCAUCAUUAUAUGUUUAAUGUAUCUAGGAUAAAUGAUAUUAAUUUAACAUAGUGUAUGCUUUUUCCCUCCCUCAAAGCACCUGUUGAAGAUUCUGUUUCCAGUACCAUAGAAGCUAAGCCUGAUCUGAAAAAGGCUAAAGCUCCAGGCGUUUCUUCCAAAGCAAAGGUGUGUUAAUACUCAUAUUUAUGUAGUUCUUUUGUCUUAAUUUUCUAUACUGAGUCACUCAGUUAGAGAAGGCCAUAGAUGUAUGAGAGAAUAUCACUGCUUCUGAUAAUAUCAAUUUAAGUAUUCAUUCAGCUUUCUGUGGCUUUAGUUUGUUUGUUUGGUUUCUUCUUCUUCUUUUUUUUUUUUCCUACACAAGAUGUGCUGAGACACAAAACUUGUUUUCAGAUCCCAAAAUAGUCAUUCUGUUUCCACAAGAUGUUGUCGUGGAGAUCUUGAGUAUUUUCCCUCAUGAAAAGAAAAGGUGUCUAACAUGGUGGCAAACGCAUUUAAUCCACUGGGUAUGCAGAGGUAGACAGAUCUUUGCAAGUUUGAGGCUAGCCUGGUCUUACAUGGUGAGAUCCUGUCUCAAAAAUAAAGGAAAAAAAGCAUUUGCACCGUCAGUUCUGGGAAAAUCAACACUUUAGAAUGGUCUGUAUUUGACGAUAAUCACCUUCCUUCACAUGGCUCAAUUAGGUCAUCAGGCAUUAAGGUACUCCCAAGUGGUUGGAUUUUUUGUAGUUUUUAUAGAAUUGGAUCAUUGGAUUAACAGUUCAGAGCACUUGUCACUCAUGCAAAGAACCUGACCUCAAUUUCCAGCACUCUUAUGUUGGCUGGUAACCACCUGUAGCUCCUGUCCUAGGGUUCCAGUGCCCUCUGCUGAUGUCUGCUGGUACCAGAUGUAUGGGACGCACAUGCACAUGAAGACAUGCAAGCAAAAAU